UACGUAGGUGGCGAGCGUUGUCCGGAUUUACUGGGCGUAAAGGGAGCGUAGGCGGACUUUUAAGUGAGAUGUGAAAUACUCGGGCUCAACUUGAGUGCUGCAUUUCAAACUGGAAGUCUAGAGUGCAGGAGAGGAGAAUGGAAUUCCUAGUGUAGCGGUGAAAUGCGUAGAGAUUAGGAAGAACACCAGUGGCGAAGGCGAUUCUCUGGACUGUAACUGACGCUGAAGCUCGAAAGCGUGGGGAGCAAACAGG
Molecule: ribosomal RNA, 253 nt
Filed under: uncultured bacterium
Lineage: Bacteria
Description: partial 16S ribosomal RNA
Rfam family: Bacterial small subunit ribosomal RNA
Source: RNAcentral